UUACGAACACAUCAGCAUAAGCCAAUAAGUUGCUAUGCAACUGGACGAAUCUGGAUUGGAGAUGAUAAGAAAAACUUUAGACUGAUUGAGGUAAAUGGAGGUAAGUAAUUGUCAAGAAAACACUUCUAAUUUUUGUUCCUGCACGCCUAUCCUGCCUCAGGAGAAGUGACUGGUGUUGACUGUUACUUUCACUAGUUUAGUUUUGACCAGCUCUUAGUUUUUCCUUAAUUCUUAUUUAUUAAAUUUGUUCAGGUUUUUGUGAGAUGUUCUUUCUGCUUUCCGGUCAUUGUUUUCCUGUCCUUUCUUCUCUGAGUUUAAAUGAAUGACGUUUUAUCUGUUGGGAUGCAGGGCUCUAGCAGUCAAAACUAUCUUAUAUAUCAAAAAAAAAAAAAACAAUAUCAAGCUUGAGGAGCUGCCUUUCAAUUAGGGUGUGGUCAUACUUUCAUUUGAUGCUCUUUGUAACUUUAGUAUUUAAGAAAUUUCUGGUGUUUAUCAACGGUGCCUGCACCCUUUCUUCCCUUCUCUAGUUUCUUUUUCUCUGAGCAUCGAUUAGUAAACCAAAAAAGAACUCAUGGGAUCUUCUAUAUGCUCUUUGUUAAAUGCAGGCUUCUGUAUCUACUUUUUCUUCCCCUUCUUUUAUUAGCAAGGCCGUGCUUGAGUUCAUCAUCAUAAAAAAAAGUGAUCUUUUUUCAAUAUAUUUGUGUUUUUGUUCUUUUAAGACCUUUAGUGAUCUUUGUUCUGAAUCCAGAAAGGAUCGAUAUUUCCAAAUGUUGACAUCUUAUAGACUUACCGAAUGUCAUUAAUGUUAAGUAUGCUUGCUGAUUGAAAUGCCAUUCGUUUGUUAUUUACGUAAUUAUAUUCUUUUUUUACUUUUAUAUUUGAUAUCUUUUAAUUUUUUAAUACAAUAUUCUUAUUUGGUUUAUUGAAUUUUUUAUGAUAUUAAAUUUUGUUAUAUAGUCCGUAUAUUUAGCAGGAAUGCUAUGAGAGCGCAUCUUGUAGACGUAAAUGUCUGCAUGCUGCAUGAACAACAUAUGCUUUGAUUUUCAAGUGGCCCUACAUCUAGUGGUAUAACGGAGGUGUGGUUGUGAUCAUGUCUCUGUUUAGAGCUUCAAAUUCCCCUACCUCUAAACGCAUGUGUAAAUUCAUUACUGCACAAUAUAGCAUUUUGAUAUUAUCUUGUUGCCAUCUAGCUGAACUGGCAAAAUGAGUGGUUGAACUAUACAAUACUAUGAUCUGAAGGGACUUUUUCCGCUUUACUGUUAGGUCUGGCUUCAAAGUUAAAACGUAAUAUAACAGUAUCAUUUUGCAGAUCUUCUGACUCCUGUGACAUCAAGGAAUCCUUGCAAUCAGCGAUAUGCAUUGAAUAAAUGAAAUUCAGAUUUCUUUAAAUGGCCCAUCACAUUUAAAGCUUCCUAGCCCAUGUUUAGGCAAGCAUAUGGGGCUACAGUUCCAGGAACUAUUGUAUGAUAGUCCCAUGGCCUCUUGAUAGAAAGGUUGUGAUAUAUUCAUCAUAAUGUCCUGCUAAAUGUACUGAUUUUCUUAUUGCUUGACCGCCUUGCAAACACCCAAAAGAAGACUCUGAUCAAAUGUUAUUCAGUUUUCAUGAGUGCUUUCUGUAUCUUAUUUUUGAAUUCAAAAUCACAUGUGUGAGUAUGUUAGAACUUUUUUUGUCAAUGUUUUGAGAAAGAUAUAUUGUUUUGAUGAAAUAAAUUAUACAUGAUGAACUCACAUAUUCGUUGCAUAUGAUUCCAUUGCGACGCUGUAAUUUUUUUUAACAAGCCAGGUCUCAAGUUUCUAGCACGUCUGAGAAAGGGAGGUCAGAUUUAUGGAUAUGCUGGCCUUGAGUCUGGCGGAACCAUCAAUAUUUUUCGUGUAAUGGAAGAGAAACUUGUUUAAUCCAGCCUAUGCAUUCCACUGACAGGCUAACACAGAAAUUCAUAGUUCACCUUGUUUCCAGCAGAAAGUGUGCAUCACAGGAUGCCAUAAGUUUGUGUUGUUUUGGUUUGGUGUGCAACGUGUUGUUAAGCAUGCGGUUAUCAUUGGCAGUGACUAUGUUGUGCAUCGAACAUGUGCAGAAUUCAGCAACCUGUCAUAGUGAAUUGUGUGUACCAGACGGCUAUUUGUCAAGAUAAUCGAGUGUGAUGUGGACGUUUGGCAACCUUGGUCUGUGCGUUAUUCUUUUAUACUAACAGGAUAGUGCUGAAUGGGUGGAUAAUUUGUCUUCAGUUGAUGAAGGUGGCGGUCUUGCAGCAUGCAAUAAGAUGUGCUUAGCUAGCUGGGAUGUGUCCAAAUUAUGAUGUGAAUGAAACUCAGGUGACCUCCAUAUAGUCCUGGCUUUUCGGGAUAUGUAAUUCCUGUUGAGCUAGAUGAAAUAUAGAUAAUUGUGUUCUUCCAUCAGUAGUAGUAAGGGUGGUGGUUACCAACAUCCUUCAGCUAGUGCGUACCUACCAAAGAAAUCUGACUGAAAACUAAAUGGUGCAAGGUGUCAUACGUUUAAGAUGCAAGGUGCCGUGAACCUGUGGAUACAAUCAUCCCAUUUGUUUUCCUUUCUUAUUCAAUUGGCUGUCUUUGUUUUGGAAUUUGGAAUACUGCAGUUUUGCAUUACUGUGGUGGAUAGGCUCAUCAUUUCUUGUGUUUCGACGGUGGUGGUUGGGGGGACAGCGACCGACUUCUGUUAGUAGCUAAAACAGGUAGUCUGGUGAAAAUGAUGGCAUCAACCAAGAAGUCAAGCUGUUGAUCCAGCUGGAAGAGAAUCGAGGUGAACUACAAGGGAUAAUAUGAGCUGAAGAAAGAGAGACAAAAUCUAAACCCUGCAAAGCAUUAUAUGUUUAUGAUCCCCUGUCCAUCUUUUUGAUAUAAUGAGAAUGGGAAUGGACUUAAUUAGGCUAUUUUUAAAUAGUUAGAUAUGCUUUGCCAGGAAUAAAAACAUGGUUUAGGAGAGAACUGCAGUGGUCCAAUGAAAGUGAAAGAAGGAUCUCAAGGGUGAAGGUGAUGGGCAUGCAGCAGGGAGGUGCGGAAUUGCAGAAUGAAAACCAGAUGUAUGGCAGAAAUUACAGGGUUUGGUAUCAGCAUGCCCGGGUCCCGAUGCUGGUACCGAGCAGCAGCCUUCUGAUGCUGCUGCACUCAUUUAUCCGGUUUGAGUUAAUGGGGUUGCCUGUGGCGGUGGACCCAGAAGUGGGACCAAAUUAAUCUCUCAUCAGCAUAUGCCUUCAGCGACGGCCUUUCUCUGUUCCCGGCUGCGGCAUUUAACGAUCGCAGGGGGAACCGACAUGAAUCUUGUGUUUAUCACUUCGCACAUGAUUGUAGUUUAUAUAUUUGCAUAUGGUACACACAAAUGCUUCUCUAUUUCUUUCAUGUGCCUGGUUUUAAAGCGUAAAAAAAAGAAAAAUCCCUUGCAGCAGCCUUGGGGUAAAGAGGUGGUGGGUUGUACCAUCUCUUACUGUGUGAUAGGCCCACCGUAUCACUUGUCCCUUUACAGAUUGAAUAUGCUCAUGGGACGGUUAUAACAGAGUCAUGGAUGCGCAAGAGCUUUGCUAUCCGCGCUGAGAUGCUGGGCCCUGACCAUUGGACUCAUUGAAGACUCCUGGUAUGCAUCUUUUUAAUCAGUUGUACAUACAUAAGUGUAUACAUAUAUACAUAAGUGUGUGUGUGUGUGUGCAUGCAUACGUGCAUUUGUACAUUAUGAUUUAAUAUAUAUGAGUUGGAUUGGAUCCCUAA
Phoenix dactylifera (date palm) is the source of this 3717-nucleotide non-coding RNA. The record is from RefSeq and is a predicted model, not a curated record. Lineage: Eukaryota; Viridiplantae; Streptophyta; Magnoliopsida; Arecales; Arecaceae.